Neofelis nebulosa (Clouded leopard) is the source of this 2901-nucleotide long non-coding RNA. RefSeq lists it as uncharacterized. NCBI's taxonomy places the organism in Eukaryota, Metazoa, Chordata, Mammalia, Carnivora, Felidae. The record is from RefSeq and is a predicted model, not a curated record. The transcript is spliced from 2 exons.
GCGCCGGGGGUGUCCCGGACACCGGCCCCCGGGGGGUGGAGGGCGAGGACCUGCCGGCCAGCCUGAUCGCCACCCACCGCGGGCCCGCCUCGGUCCGGCCCGGCCCGGCCCGGCCCGGCCCGGCCCUGCUCCGCCCUGCGAUCCCGUCCGCGGCCGCUGGGCGCCGUCCGAGCUCCGCCCAUAGGGCGCCCUGGCUGGCCGCUGCGCUAGCACCGGGCGGUGGAGGUGACUCGGACCCCGGGCGCCGCCCAGCCGCCCUGGACUCGGAUCGGACCAGGGCUGCCUCCGGCUUGGCCUGGCUCUCGCCUCUCCCCAACGCUGAGUGGAUGCCCACACGCCCCGACGGGUGGUGGGGACAAUUCCUUAUUCUCUGUCCCCAGGAGCUCCUGGCUCUUCAGGCUGCCAUGCCAGCUCCUUCCAGCUUCCGCCUGGAUGGCCUCAGUGACCUUUAAUUUUCUAAUCCGUUAAAGAGGGGAUACUCGCACGCACCUGAGAUUCUUGGAUCAAGAACUCUGUUAAUAUCAGGGAAGUGGAAUCUAUCAGGAAGGAACCCAAACCUGGAGCCACUUAGGCAUCUUCCUGUAAGGCCAUACAUGUGAACCUCCACAACCCCGAGUCGCAUAUUGGAGGCCUGAUGUCUUCCUGAUUCUGGAAAAGCCCUUUCUGAGGAGGUGUGCGGGUCCCGGCGCUGGCAUGGUGCCUCGGCCUCCUGCCCCCACCGCGCGCCCUUGGAAAUCCCUCCCAUCUGGCACCUGCCAGAGGCAAGAGUUGUUGAGCGAAGGAGAGAAGGUCUAGAGAGGCGUUUGAAGACAAUCCGAUGUGCCUGUGAUUUGUCUGUGUGCUCCCCUCCACCCCCUCCAAGAGCAGAACAGAUUGACCCAGGAGACACAAAAUCAAGCACUCUUGCUAGGUCGCUCCCUGGGGACCCAGCAGCGACUAGUAGGCGGCAGGGGCUGCACAGUUCAUUGCUGGCUGUUACUGUUGCUAAGUUUACAAGGUGGUUGUGCAGAUCAAGUGGAAAGCUGUCAAAAUCCUCAUCGGGCGCUCAAAACACCUUUUUGCCUCCACCAUCAUUGCCUAACAGGGCAAGAAAGAGGGGUGGGAGUGGGCAGCUUGGGCUUGGCAGAAGGGAUGCAGACCACGGGGUCUGUGGCUCCCAGCACAUGCCUGCCUUGGCCCUCACCCCAGAAAAGAAGCGUCGUCUUGAGUGACACUGGGAAAUUUUGCUCACGUUGAUACGGCGCUUUCUAUCUCAUAAAAUCAGAAGAUUGGGCGCCUGGGCCCAAAUUCCCAUCUGGCCACAAUGAGCAUCUGAAUGGGGCACUUGCCCCCGUGUGCCUCGGUCCCCCCAAGGUGUUACCCUGGUGGGGGGAGGGAUGUCUGCCUCUAUUUUAAGGGUCCACAGCCUGCCUCUCGAUUGAUUCCAAGGUCCUGAAUGGUGUAGCAGCCGACAGGCAACCCAGAGCCUCUGUAGCCCUUCCUAUUUGAUUCAAGGUCCCUUGCUCCGUGGCACAGGUCAGGGGCCUGAGGCACCCAGAGGGGCCUGACUUACCCCAGGGCACGUGGUGAGUAACCAGAGGAGGCGUGUUGAGAUUGGGGUCCAGGGCAGACCGGGGGCGACCACCUCAGCUGAGGCCAGCUUCUGCCUGCCUCCACUGGUUUCCUAAGGCUGGCGUAGCAAAGCGUCACAAACUGGGCGGUCCCGGGAGCCAGAAGCGCUUCAAGCUCUGACGGUCUUGGAGCCCACGAAGAGGUCCUUGUUGCCCGCUGAGGGGCUCUGCCGACAAGAAGACUGGGAUUGUCCUGUGACCGGUAAAGUAACAACGAGUUAACUUUCGUGUCCUGAGCCCUUCUAAUGUGCCAAGCUCUGUGCUAAAUGCUUGACUCGCCAAUCUCAACAAGUCCCAUUAAGUGAAUGAUGGUAUCUGCCUAUUUUUCAAACGAGGAGACAGGUUCAGAGAGGUUUAGAGGCUCGCCCAAUGUUGCACAGCUGGGUUGAGACUCCAACCCAGGUCUGGGGGCGGGGGUGCUCUUCCAAAUAUCUGGCCUUCUGCCUUGCGGCUCCUCUGGGUGUGGGCCUCAGAGGGUCUGCACAAGCAGGAGUAAGGAGCUGACCCCUGCUCUGUCACAGCCCCUGGGCAUCACACUGUGGAGCCGCCCUGCCGCCUGCCUGUCGCCCAGGCCCCUAUCUUUAGAAAGUUCCUUGACCCUUGCCCUCCCUCCUGUCAGCAAGGGCAACCUUGUUUUCUCCAUCUGCCUCCCAUUAAGGCCCUGUCACUCAGAGCCUCUGAUUUUCAAGUGCUGAACCUUCUCUCUUCUUUCCUUGCCACUGCCCCUCGCUGCCCUGCCAGCCUAGCCACCUCCGGCCACCCAAUUCCAGGAUUCCUGGGCAGCCUGGGUGUCCUGGAGCCAGGCACUGAGUGCUCGGACUCUGGCUGAUCUGUCCCUGCCCCAGGGAGCUUGGGAGUCCCUCUGACUGCGCAAUGUGUAGAGAGGGAUAGCCUUAAUAUACAAAGAACUGUUGAAAAUCAACAACAAGCAGGCAAAAGCUCUAACAGAAAAAUGGGCCGAGGACACACCCCGGUGAGUCACAAAGGAUGAGAAACUGUUAACAGGCAUGAAGGGAGAAGUCUAGCCUCUCCAGGUAUCCAACGCCAACAGUGAUAAGAGCUGCCCUAUGGGAUUUACCUCAUAUGAGACUCUGCCCCAGAGCGCUUCAACAAAGUGAGUCCGAGAAUAGUAGGUACUGUACGAUUCCCCCUUGGGAAAAAGUGCCAUGUAUAUGUGUGCCCACGUAUGCAUGUGUACGGAGGCAGGGGUCAUUGCCAUGGCCCCACGGCAAGAUGUCAGCGGUGAUGGCUUCCGGGCGCUGGGAUCUCGGGAAGUUUUUUCUUCUUUGUG